This 387-nucleotide unclassified non-coding RNA is filed under the name uncultured Actinomycetes bacterium. RNAcentral describes it as "uncultured actinobacterium contains 16S-23S intergenic spacer region". Lineage: Bacteria; Bacillati; Actinomycetota; Actinomycetes. The record is from RNAcentral.
UCCGAGUUGACCCCGGCAGUCUCCCAUGAGUCCCCAACCUUCCCGAAAGAAGUCGCUGGCAACAUGGAACGAGGGUUGCGCUCGUUGCGGGACUUAACCCAACAUCUCACGACACGGGCUGACGACAGCCAUGCAGCAUCUGUGCAGGUGCCCCGAAGGGAGACCGUGUUUCCACGGCUGUCACCUGCAUGUCAAGCCUAGGUAAGGUUCUUCGCGUUGCUUCGAAUUAAACCACAUGCUCCGCUGCUUGUGCGGGCCCCCGUCAAUUCCUUUGAGUUUUAGCCUUGCGGCCGUACUCCCCAGGCGGGGAACUUAAUGCGUUAGCUUCGGCACGGACGGAGUCGACACCGCCCACACCUAGUUCCCAUCGUUUACGGCGUGGACUAC